This 254-nucleotide ribosomal RNA is filed under the name uncultured bacterium. RNAcentral's name for it is "partial 16S ribosomal RNA". It matches the Rfam family "Bacterial small subunit ribosomal RNA", at positions 524 to 776 of the family's 1533-position model. The record is from RNAcentral.
UACGAAGGGGGCUAGCGUUGCUCGGAAUCACUGGGCGUAAAGCGUACGUAGGCGGGCUCUUAAGUCGGUGGUGAAAUCCUGGAGCUCAACUCCAGAACUGCCUUCGAUACUGAGAGUCUUCGAGUCCGGGAGAGGUGAGUGGAACUGCGAGUGUAGAGGUGAAAUUCGUAGAUAUUCGCAAGAACACCAGUGGCGAAGGCGGCUCACUGGCCCGGUACUGACGCUGAGGUGCGAAAGCGUGGGGAGCAAACAGG